RNAcentral lists this ribosomal RNA (363 nucleotides) under uncultured Flavobacteriia bacterium. RNAcentral's name for it is "bacterial SSU rRNA". It matches the Rfam family "Bacterial small subunit ribosomal RNA", at positions 466 to 828 of the family's 1533-position model. The record is from RNAcentral. Lineage: Bacteria; Pseudomonadati; Bacteroidota; Flavobacteriia.
GGCUUGACGGUACUGUACGAAUAAGGAUCGGCUAACUCCGUGCCAGCAGCCGCGGUAAUACGGAGGAUCCAAGCGUUAUCCGGAAUUAUUGGGUUUAAAGGGUCCGCAGGCGGUCUAUUAAGUCAGAGGUGAAAUCCUGCAGCUCAACUGUAAAAUUGCCUUUGAUACUGAUAGACUUGAGUCAUUGUGAAGUGGUUAGAAUGUGUGGUGUAGCGGUGAAAUGCAUAGAUAUCACACAGAAUACCAAUUGCGAAGGCAGAUCACUAACAAUGUACUGACGCUCAUGGACGAAAGCGUGGGGAGCGAACAGGAUUAGAUACCCUGGUAGUCCACGCCGUAAACGAUGGAUACUAACUGUUCGUC